UGACGUAGACCCGAAACCGGGCGACCUACCCAUGAGCAGGAUGAAGCGAAAGUAAAAUUUCGUGGAGGUCCGAACCCACGAGCGUUGAAAAGCUCGGGGAUGACUUGUGGGUAGCGGUGAAAUUCCAAUCGAGCCCGGAGAUAGCUGGUUCUCCCCGAAAUAGCUUUAGGGCUAGCCUCAAGGUGAGAGAUACGGAGGUAGAGCACUGAAUGUCCUAGGGGGUAUUGCACCUACCGAAGACUAUCAAACUCCGAAUGCCGUCAUCUUAUACUUGGGAGUCAGACUGUGGGUGAUAAGAUUCAUAGUCGAAAGGGCAACAGCCCAGAUCGUCAGCUAAGGUCCCUAAAUGUAAGUUAAGUGGUAAAGGAUGUGGGAUUGCACAGACAACCAGGAUGUUGGCUUAGAAGCAGCCACUCAUUCAAAGAGUGCGUAAUAGCUCACUGGUCGAGUGAUCCUGCGCCGAAGAUUUCCGGGGCUAAAACUUACUACCGAAGCUACGGCAUCAGUAAUGAUGGGUAGGGGAGCUUCCCAUACGGGUUGAAGCAUGACCGUAAGGACAUGUGGACAGUAUGGGAGUGAGAAUGUUGGCAUGAGUAGCGAGAUGUGGGUGAGAAUCCCACAGGCCGUAAACCCAAGGUUUCCAGGGGAAGGUUCGUCCGCCCUGGGUUAGUCGGGACCUAAGCUGAGGCCGAAAGGCGUAGGUGAUGGACAACAGGUUGAUAUUCCUGUACUACCGAUAACCGUUUGAGAGA
RNAcentral lists this ribosomal RNA (752 nucleotides) under Clostridioides difficile. RNAcentral's name for it is "bacterial LSU rRNA". It matches the Rfam family "Bacterial large subunit ribosomal RNA", at positions 705 to 1465 of the family's 2925-position model. Lineage: Bacteria; Bacillati; Bacillota; Clostridia; Peptostreptococcales; Peptostreptococcaceae. The record is from RNAcentral.